Molecule: long non-coding RNA, 550 nt
Organism: Triticum dicoccoides
Lineage: Eukaryota; Viridiplantae; Streptophyta; Magnoliopsida; Poales; Poaceae
Exons: 3
Source: RefSeq, a predicted model, not a curated record
CUCCCCCCCCCAAAUUUUUUGGCUCUGUGUGUGAUGGGAAAGGGGGCUGGGCGAUGACACGUGAUGGGAUCGCCAAGAUUGUAGCAAGGGGAGAGGGGAAUCAAGCUAAUUGUCUAAAGAUCCGCCCCUCCCCCAAGAAAAGUUUCGGCCGGUGCAAAGAAUCACGACCUGAAUUUGAUCCCGAUUUCUCUCUCUAAUCACGGGGGGUUAGGGGUUUCUGAGGUUGAAGACGAUGUGGUUAUUUUCAGAAUUAUCCCCGUAGUUUAUUUUUAUUCUAUAUCACCUAUCUGGACGGCGCGGAAGGACUAAAAGGCGGAUCCACACGCGGGGCAACAACAACCAAAUCCGGUGGGCGGACGGGGAACUUGAGGACGGAGGAUGGCGGUGGAGUUCCCCAUCACCUUGCGGGAGCUCUACAGGAACGCCAUCACGAACUGAAUUUCAGAUUUUGGCAUUAGGAGUUGCUAAUAACUCGAAGGGAACAAGGAAAUUGUUGGCUUUCUUCAAUACAUCCAACCAAUAGAUUUAUAUAUCAACCAUGGCUGAGCAG